Long non-coding RNA from Cryptomeria japonica (Japanese cedar), 4415 nucleotides. RefSeq lists it as uncharacterized. The record is from RefSeq and is a predicted model, not a curated record. The transcript is spliced from 6 exons. Lineage: Eukaryota; Viridiplantae; Streptophyta; Pinopsida; Cupressales; Cupressaceae.
UUUCGUUAGAGAUCUACUGCUUUGCAUCCUUUUAGUCUUAAAUCUAUUUGUUGACCACCAUUUUCCCGUACAAGGAGAUUGAAUUCUUGUUGUGAAGAAGAGGUUACAGUGACAUGGAUUCCAUGGAUAUGAGCUCAGAAAUCCUCACAAGAAUUGGGUGCAUACUUCUUAUGUUACCACUUAUGGGUUUCUGGCUCAAAUAGGAAAUAUAUUAACAGAGUUUCGUUCUCCCUAAAUUUAGCUCCAUUAAAACACAAACGACUUGGGUUCCACUGUGUCAUUUUGAUUAUUGUGUUCUUCACAGUUGGUGCAAUCACCCUUCCUUCAUCAGAUAUUUCAAGAUUUAAAAAUCAUUUAUAUGGGCGUUGCAUUUCAAGGUUACUGUGCUCUUCAAGGUUUCUUGACCGCCAUUUUCCCAUAAAGGGAGAUUGAAUUCUUGUUCUGAAAAAGAUAUGAGCUCAGAAACACAAGCGACUCGGGUUCCAUUAUAUCGUUUUGAUUAUUUUAUUCUUCACAGUUGGUGCAACCAUCCUUCAUCAGAUAUCUCAAGAUGACAGAGCGCCUCAGAAUUAAGGAUUCCUUUGCGCUUAGCUGGACAUAAAGAUGAUAGAGUAUCACCAUCAGGAAAGUGCUUAACAGAGGCAAGUGCAACAAAACCAGGAAAUCCAAGAUGUUGUCCUCUUACCUGAUGAGGUGUUACUGUCUUCUCAGAGAUUCAGAUGCAAAGACAAAGAAUCUCUGCCAUCUUCUUUCGAAGACAAUCUCCAUACACAACGGAAGGGAAUUGAAUAUUUAGAUAGAGCCCAAGGAGCUGCGGUAAGAUGCCAGGCACCUGCACAAAAUGUCCAAUGGUCUGCAAAAUCAAUGACCCUAGUUGACAACAUUCAUAACCCAGUUUUAACUUUUAACAGAGACCAUGAAAGUGAAUGCCGAGUUUAUGAAUUCCUCCCAGCCCAUUGAAUCACAUCACAUGGUAUAUGAGAAGUUCAUUACAGAAAAGGAUAUUUUUCUGUUUGCCAAAGGUAUCAACUAUAAACAAGGACUAAAUGUUGCAACACAAGACCUCCGUUGCAUCUUCAAUGGCACAAUAGAAACUACUGUAACUCUAUUUGCACUCUGCACAAGAGAUCUUUAGGUGUGAGCAUCCAGAAGAAGAACAAGUACUUCAUCAGUUGCUUGGAUACAAAAUCACUCCGUCAAUCCUUGGAAACCCUAUUCCUUCAGUUGUUUAUUAUGACAUCCCACCAUCUUAUCACAGACCUCUGCAGUAUGCUCAUGUUAGAACUGCAGAAAGCAAGAUGAAACUAUGUGCCUGCACCUUGGUGUUUAUCUCUGGACUCCGGCCCCUUCUCGCAGCGGAUCAACCUGGGUUCGCUUCAAUGGACGCAUAUGCUGCCAGUUCAGUCGCCAAGUAUACAGCAGCAGCAUCGCAGGGCCUGCAAUAUGUUAGGUUCAAGAUGGUUCCGUGUGGGGUAAAUUUACUGCAUACGCAUCCAUGAGAUUCAGAAAUGCUUACUCUUAUCUCAGGAGGGCCUCUUCAAGUUGGUUUUGUUGACACUCAAGGUCAAGCUUUCAUCGAUAUUUUGCAUUCUGGAGAUAUGACCAUAUUUUCGAGGGGGACACUGGAUUUUGAGCUUAAUGUUGGAAUUGAAGAAGCUAAUUAUAUCUCUGCUCUCAACAGUCAAAAUCCUGGUGUUGUGACAAGCAGCGUGUCAAUAUUGAAGCUUCCAUUGAGAAGUGUGUCAACAGCUUUCAACAUCACCCAACAAGCUGUAAAGAAAUUAGAUUCAACGAUAUAUGCCAGUGCAAUGGGACUGAAAAAAACAUCCAAAAGCGGUUGUGUUCCAGGAAGAGAUAUUACUGAAGAAUUUUUAAUUAUAUGUUGAUUCCCACUCCCCCACAAUAAAUGGCGUCCAUUGGGAACCAUAUGCCCCGACCCGGCAUAAUGUGAGCAGAUAUCCAUUGCCAAUGGCUAAGACACAGGAAGCAGAGUUUUCACACUGUUCUUUCAUGGCCAGGGAAAAGUUCCAAUAGAUGUUGUAUACCGAUGUGGGUGAGUUUGUAUUCUCUGAUUCUUGGUUGAAUGAGCAGGUGGGUCCAGAGGACAAGGGCUUUCAGGAAGUAAAACCCAACUGCAGGGAUCUUACUUCAGUGGCUCUCUUGAAAAAUGGUUAUGAGUCUAAGUUCACAGAGGAACAGCCGUCAAGAAUUUCCGAAUCUCAUAUCAGGCAACUUUCCUUCAAGUGUAGGAAUUUUGGGCCAUCAAGGCAUACCGAACACCCUGAGAGGGAGGCAGGAGAAAAGGUUCAAGAGAGGCAGAAGAAAAAGUUGCAGUUAGUUGUUGAUCUGAUCUUGGUUAUUUUGCAGUUACGUUAGAGGAGGUGAUAUUGGAAACAAAUUUAAGAUUCCUUUGUGCUUAACUGGAGGUUUGCAAGAAGGAUUUUGAAGAAAGACAAUAGAGUACAACCUAAAGGCAUGUGCUUCGGAGAGGAAUCAUUUUCCAACCACUGAAUCUGACUGUGCUGUACAGCCAUGGAUUUUUAUUCAUCCAAGAUGUUGUCCUCUUACUUGAUGAAGUGUUACUAUCGGUCCCACUGUUUUUUCCAAGAUUCAGAUUUGGAGAGAAAGAAUCUCUCCAAUGGUUCUUUCUCAAACAAUUUCUAUACACAACCGAAGGAAACUGAAUAUUUAGAUACAGCCCAAUUUUCCCACUUCCUUUUCAAAGUGUUUUUGCCUUUUUAUUUUUUGUAUUUUUUAUUUUUUGUUUAUUCGCUUCUUUGGAUUUGUUCUUGGUUUCUCAUGCGAUUCCUAUCUUUUUCUUUUUAUUAUCAAAUCCAAAAUCCAAUUUUAAUUUCAACUCAUCCCAUCCCUUCUUAUCACCUUGAGAAUUUUUCUUAGCAUCUUAUUUCAAAAUUUUUGUUUUUCAGCUUGUCAAGCAGCCUAUCUUUUAAUCUGCCUAGCUUUUAUCGCUUUUUUGUGCUCUUGGAACCUUUUCUUUAGUUUUUGCACUCUUUCUAAGUGUUUCUGCUAAUCUUCUAGCUCAAAUGCCUUUUCCAGGUUCUUAACUUCCUUUGGAGUAGUUGCGGAUUCCAAUUUUUAUAAUCUCUAUUUUAUGAUCUUUUGUCUUUCUUGUUUUCGUCGUCUCCUUUCCUCUUUGAUUUUUUGAAAUUCUGAGAGUUUACUUCUUCUUUGGAUAUUCAAUUCCCUUCAGUUUGUAUAAAAAUUGUUUGAGAAAAAACAUUGCAGAGAUUCUUUGUCUUCAAAUCUAAAUUUUGGAGAAGGUGGUGGGACCAAUAGUGACACUUCACUAGGUAAGAGGACAACAUCUUGGAUGAAUAAAAAUCCAUGGCUUUGCUUCAUAGUCAGAUUCAGGGAUUGGAAAUGACUCCUCUGUGAAGCACUUGCUUGUAGGUUGUACUCUAUCAUCUUUCUUCCAAAUCCUUCUUGCAGACCUCUAGGUAAGCGCAAAGGAAUCCUUAAAUUUCUGUCUGAUAACAACUCUAACGUAACUCUAACUUAACCAAUGACAAGUGAACAACUAACUCAGAAAAAUUAAAAUAGGGAAUGCCUAAAAUUCUCAGCUGCUGUCAUCUAUUGCAAGCACAAGAAGGUUAUCCAUUAUGGCUACAUAUUACAAGGACAGAAAUACUUCUGUGGCAGUACCAGCGUUUGAGGAUCCAUAUCAUCUUUGACUAAUACUUCUGUGGCAAGUUUCCUUCAAGUGUAGGAAUUUUGGGCCAUCAGGGCUCACUGAACACCUUGACAGAGGGGUAACCCAAAGGUACACUGUAGAGAGAGGCAGGAGAAAAGGUUCAACUCCAUAGUUUUGUCGGAAGCUGCCUCUACUUCAUUGUUUAAUGUAAUACACCGUUUCCAGCUGAAGAAGGGAUACAGGACAUUGUAUGUGCAGUCCUCCAUGGCAAUGAUAAAUCAUUAUACAUAUUAAGCAUUGAUUGAGUUUAAGGUCAAGUUUAGGAGGCGAGUAACUGCCUAUGUUGUGGAUUGGAGUGAGUCUAAAUAUUCUGCUUCUCAGGACAGAACACCUGGCCUUAGCAAUAAGGCCAUUCAGCCAGAUGAUUGGGAACAUAGAUUUUGUGAGGUGAUAGAUACUGCAUUGAAAGAUUUUGCAAUCAGGGUGUUUUCAUUGAGUAAUGAGCCAACUUCCAAACUAGAAUGGCAAUUAUAAAUCUAAUGUUUAAUGCUCAUAUACCUCAAAUUCUGUUUACUUGUAUCUAAUAAAAAAUCGGUAUUUGAGGGGUGAUUCAUUGCCCCAGGUUUAAACUUGACAAUUUGAACUUAAUGCCAAAGGCAAACAGGGUAGAUCAAUCUGUUACAGCAUAAGCCGUAUUUGAAAUCAUAAAAUAAUUUAAAAGAGCAUAAUUGUACCAUGAUAUGUUUCACCGGGACAAGUCCUC